GACAGAGGGGGCAAGCGUUGCUCGGAAUUACUGGGCGUAAAGGGCGCGUAGGCGGGAUGGCAAGUCGGUCGUGAAAUCCCUCGGCUCAACCGAGGAACGUCGAUCGAUACUGCUGUUCUUGAGGAUUGCAGAGGAGACUGGAAUUCCCGGUGUAGCGGUGAAAUGUGUAGAGAUCGGGAGGAACACCGGUGGCGAAAGCGACACACUGGGUCUCAACUGACGCUGAGGCACGAAAGCCAGGGGAGCGAACGGG
This 253-nucleotide ribosomal RNA is filed under the name uncultured bacterium. RNAcentral's name for it is "partial 16S ribosomal RNA". It matches the Rfam family "Bacterial small subunit ribosomal RNA", at positions 524 to 776 of the family's 1533-position model. The record is from RNAcentral.